This 301-nucleotide ribosomal RNA is filed under the name uncultured bacterium. RNAcentral describes it as "partial 16S ribosomal RNA". It matches the Rfam family "Bacterial small subunit ribosomal RNA", at positions 509 to 807 of the family's 1533-position model. The record is from RNAcentral.
CAGCCGCCACGGGAAUACGAAGGGGGCUAGCAUUGCUCGGAAUGACUGGGCGUAAAGGGCGCGUAGGCGGAUGGCACAGUCAGAUGUGAAAUUCCUGGGCUUAACCUGGGGGCUGCAUUUGAUACGUGUUGUCUAGAGUGUGAAAGAGGGUCGUGGAAUUCCCAGUGUAGAGGUGAAAUUCGUAGAUAUUGGGAAGAACACCGGUGGCGAAGGCGGCGACCUGGUUCAUGACUGACGCUGAGGCGCGAAAGCGUGGGGAGCAAACAGGAUUAGAUACCCGCGUAGUCCCUGUCUCUUAUAC